UGAGUUGGUUAUCAUUGUUG
RNAcentral lists this microRNA (20 nucleotides) under Ciona intestinalis (vase tunicate). Its description in RNAcentral is "cin-miR-4003c-5p". Lineage: Eukaryota; Metazoa; Chordata; Ascidiacea; Phlebobranchia; Cionidae. The record is from miRBase by way of RNAcentral.